GGAGAGGUGCCAGAGCGGCUGAAUGGGCCGGUCUCGAAAACCGGUGUGCCUUUUAGGCACCGCGGGUUCGAAUCCCGCCCUCUCCG
This 86-nucleotide transfer RNA is filed under the name Planctomycetota bacterium. RNAcentral's name for it is "Planctomycetes bacterium (anaerobic digester metagenome) tRNA-Ser". It matches the Rfam family "tRNA". Rfam says of the family: Transfer RNA (tRNA) molecules are approximately 80 nucleotides in length. Lineage: Bacteria; Pseudomonadati; Planctomycetota. The record is from RNAcentral.